CAGCCGCCGCGGUAAUACGUAGGUCCCGAGCGUUGUCCGGAUUUAUUGGGCGUAAAGCGAGCGCAGGCGGUUAGAUAAGUCUGAAGUUAAAGGCUGUGGCUUAGCCAUGGUACGCUUUGGAAACUGUUUAACUUGAGUGCAAGAGGGGAGAGUGGAAUUCCAUGUGUAGCGGUGAAAUGCGUAGAGAUGUGGAGGAACACCAGUGGCGAAGGCGGCUCUCUGGUCUGUAACUGACGCUGAGGAGCGAAAGCGUGGGGAGCGAACAGGAUUAGAUACCCCGGUAGUCCCUGUCUCUUAUACC
RNAcentral lists this ribosomal RNA (301 nucleotides) under uncultured bacterium. RNAcentral describes it as "partial 16S ribosomal RNA". It matches the Rfam family "Bacterial small subunit ribosomal RNA", at positions 509 to 808 of the family's 1533-position model. The record is from RNAcentral.